CAAGGGCCCAACCCGAAAGUUAUUCCUGAAGAGAAACAACGGGCCUGAGCAAUAGCCUGCCCGAUGAUGAUCAAGCAGAGCCCUGCAAGUUUCAAGAGGAAUGUCAGUGACUCUUCACUGAAACCUCCCAGUGUCAGCACCAGAUGGGCCUUCAGAUCCCAGCAUCUCCGUGAGCAGUGAGCAAAGCGGGGCACAGCAGCCUCCCGGUUUACAGGUUGAAAGGAUUGUUGACAAAAGGAAAAAUAAAAAAGGGAAGACAGAGUAUUUGGUUCGGUGGAAAGGCUAUGACAGCGAGGACGACACUUGGGAGCCGGAGCAGCACCUCGUGAACUGUGAGGAAUACAUCCACGACUUCAACAGACGCCACACGGAGAAGCAGAAGGAGAGCACAUUGACCAGAACAAACAGGACCUCUCCCAACAAUGCUAGGAAACAAAUCUCCAGAUCCACCAACAGCAACUUUUCUAAGACCUCUCCUAAGGCACUCGUGAUUGGGAAAGACCACGAAUCCAAAAACAGCCAGCUGUUUGCUGCCAGCCAGAAGUUCAGGAAGAACACAGCUCCAUCUCUCUCCAGCCGGAAGAACAUGGACCUAGCGAAGUCAGGUAUCAAGA
Molecule: small RNA, 614 nt
Filed under: Pongo abelii (Sumatran orangutan)
Lineage: Eukaryota; Metazoa; Chordata; Mammalia; Primates; Hominidae
Description: processed transcript
Source: RNAcentral